UAAGGAAUAUUGGGCAAUGGACGCAAGUCUGACCCAGCCAUGCCGCGUGCAGGAUGACAGCCCUACGGGUUGUAAACUGCUUUUGUACGGGAAAAACCCCUCGGACGUGUCCGAGGCUGAUGGUACCGUAAGAAUAAGGAUCGGCUAACUCCGUGCCAGCAGCCGCGGUAAUACGGAGGAUCCAAGCGUUAUCCGGAUUCAUUGGGUUUAAAGGGUCCGCAGGCGGACCGAUAAGUCAGGGGUGAAAUCCUACGGCUCAACCGUAGAACUGCCCUUGAUACUGUUGGUCUAGAGUACAGUUGAGGUGGGCGGAAUGUGUCAUGUAGCGGUGAAAUGCAUAGAUAUGACACAGAACACCGAUCGCGAAGGCAGCUCACCAAGCUGUAACUGACGCUCAGGGACGAAAGCGUGGGGAUCAAACAGG
This 424-nucleotide ribosomal RNA is filed under the name uncultured bacterium. Its description in RNAcentral is "bacterial SSU rRNA". It matches the Rfam family "Bacterial small subunit ribosomal RNA", at positions 355 to 776 of the family's 1533-position model. The record is from RNAcentral.